Molecule: ribosomal RNA, 407 nt
Filed under: uncultured bacterium
Lineage: Bacteria
Description: partial 16S ribosomal RNA
Rfam family: Bacterial small subunit ribosomal RNA
Source: RNAcentral
AUUGAACGCUGGCGGCAGGCCUAACACAUGCAAGUCGAGCGGAGCGGCGGACGGGUGAGUAAUGCCUAGGAAUCUGCCUGGUAGUGGGGGAUAACGUCCGUAAACGGGCGCUAAUACCGCAUCCUAUCAUAUGAGCCUAGGUCGGAUUAGCUAGUGGGUGGGGUAAUGGCCUACCAAGGCGACGAUCCGUACCUGGUCUGAGAGGAUGAUCAGUAACACUGGAAAUGAGACAAGGUGCAGAAUCCUACGGGAGGCAGCAGUGGGGAAUAUUGGACAAUGGGCGAAAGCCUGAUGCAGCCAUGCCGCGUGUGUGAAGAAGGUCUUCGGAUUGUAAAGCACGUUAAGUUGGGAGGCGGUACCAACAGAAUAAGCACCGGCUAACUUCGUGCCAGCAGCCGCGGUAAUAC